GCCCGUGUUAAACUAUGUUAAACCCAUCACUGUCCUGUGACUCACUUAGGCCCGUGUUAAACUAUGUUAAACCCAUCACUGUCCUGUGACUCACUUAGGCCCGUGUUAAACUAUGUUAAACCCAUCACUGUCCUGUGACUCACUUAGGCCCGUGUUAAACUAUGUUAAACCCAUCACUGUCCUGUGACUCACUUAGGCCCGUGUUAAACUAUGUUAAACCCAUCUUUGUGCUGCAACUGUCAUAAGCGUACCUAUGUUAAACCCAUUGGCAACAGAUCGGGUGGUCAGACUCGCUGACUUACUUGAUACAUGUCAUUGCAUCCUAAUUACGUAGAUUGAUGCUCAUGCUGUUGACCACUGGAUUGUCUGGUCGAGACUCGAUUAUUUACAGACUGACCCGAUAUAGCUGGAAUAUUGAUAAGAGCGGCGUAAAACUAAACGCACUCACUCACUAAGCCUAUGUUAAACUAUAUGGAAGUUAUGCCAUCUGUAGCGCAACGACUGUCUAAAGCCUGUGUCAAACUAUAUGGUAGCUAUUUUAUGUGUGUUCAACUUCGGUAUCAUAGUGCUACAAUUGCUUUGUGUAACAAGGUACAGUGUUAUAGUACAGUAUGUGUAACAAGGUACAGUGUUAUAGUACAGUAUGUGUAACAAGGUACAGUGUUAUAGUACAGUAUGUGUAACAAGGUACAGUGUUAUAGUACAGUAUGUGUAACAAGGUACAGUGUUAUAGUACAGUAUGUGUAACAAGGUACAGUGUUAUAGUACAGUAUGUGUAACAAGGUACAGUGUUAUAGUACAGUAUGUGUAACAAGGUACAGUGUUAUAGUACAGUAAGUGUAACAAGGUACAGUGUUAUAGUACAGUAUGUGUAACAAGGUACAGUGUUAUAGUACAGUAAGUAAUCUAAGCAGACACUUCCACAUCACAGAUUGUGUAGUCUGAAUACGUCAUCUCCUCGAGUGACAUACAUCGUCAUAUCAUCUGCCCUCCAUAGUGUGUGUAAGCUGCGGAGCAGUUGGCAAGAUGUUUUGUGAAGAAAUCUUAAUCAAGAUUUU
This is a long non-coding RNA of Haliotis rubra (blacklip abalone), 1058 nucleotides long. RefSeq lists it as uncharacterized. The transcript has 2 exons. NCBI's taxonomy places the organism in Eukaryota, Metazoa, Mollusca, Gastropoda, Lepetellida, Haliotidae. The record is from RefSeq and is a predicted model, not a curated record.